This 360-nucleotide long non-coding RNA is filed under the name Sorghum bicolor (sorghum). RNAcentral describes it as "long non-coding RNA (SBIC_LNC013329)". The record is from RNAcentral. Lineage: Eukaryota; Viridiplantae; Streptophyta; Magnoliopsida; Poales; Poaceae.
UAGUCAUCACGAGGCAUGUUGGAUUAUUUGAACUACUUGAAAUAGUGUUAUUUUUUAUAAUGUGUUAUUUUUUAUAAUGGUCAGAAAAGCAUUGGACUUUGGAAAAGAAACUUCAAAGAUGAACUUUACAUUGUGUGUACCAAAGCCAAAGCAACAAGCAGAAGCACCUUAACCAGUUUAUGGAGAGAUAGUUUUACUUAGUUAUUUCCUUGUUUUUGCUUUGGGCCUAGUUGCCUUGUACUUGCUCUUUGUACACAACUUUCUUUCAUUUAAUUGAAAACCAAAAAAAGAAAAAAAUAGGUAGGCUUAAGCUGCUGAUGUUCCUCCCAUGCACACACAUUGCCUCAACCACUUAGGGCC